This 317-nucleotide unclassified non-coding RNA is filed under the name Funneliformis mosseae. RNAcentral describes it as "sequence contains 5.8S rRNA gene". The stretch from base 1 to 53 matches the Rfam family "5.8S ribosomal RNA", at positions 102 to 154 of the family's 154-position model. The record is from RNAcentral. Lineage: Eukaryota; Fungi; Glomeromycota; Glomeromycetes; Glomerales; Glomeraceae.
GAACGCAAAUUGCACUCCCUGGUAUUCCGGGGAGUAUGCCUGUUUGAGGGUCGUUAGAAAAAAAUCGAGGCGUCGCACUUUUUUUUUAGGGUGAUCGCGUCGGAAUUGAGCCGUCUUUCAAAUGUUAAUUCAUGUCAAAGUGGCUUAAAAUUCAUCCAUCCGGUACGAUUAAAGCGUAUUUAAGAUCAAUUUUGUUCAAGAACGCGCGAUGACGUACCAUCUCAUGUAGUACGUUUGACUUGGCGUCGUCAGGAUCAUUCGUAUACGAUACUCAACUUUUGACCUCAAAUCAGGUAGGAAUACCCGCUGAACUUAAG